RNAcentral lists this ribosomal RNA (762 nucleotides) under Lactobacillus helveticus. RNAcentral's name for it is "bacterial SSU rRNA". It matches the Rfam family "Bacterial small subunit ribosomal RNA", at positions 57 to 786 of the family's 1533-position model. The record is from RNAcentral. Lineage: Bacteria; Bacillati; Bacillota; Bacilli; Lactobacillales; Lactobacillaceae.
GCAAGUCGAGCGAGCAGAACCAGCAGAUUUACUUCGGUAAUGACGCUGGGGACGCGAGCGGCGGAUGGGUGAGUAACACGUGGGGAACCUGCCCCAUAGUCUAGGAUACCACUUGGAAACAGGUGCUAAUACCGGAUAAUAAAGCAGAUCGCAUGAUCAGCUUAUAAAAGGCGGCGUAAGCUGUCGCUAUGGGAUGGCCCCGCGGUGCAUUAGCUAGUUGGUAAGGUAACGGCUUACCAAGGCAAUGAUGCAUAGCCGAGUUGAGAGACUGAACGGCCACAUUGGGACUGAGACACGGCCCAAACUCCUACGGGAGGCAGCAGUAGGGAAUCUUCCACAAUGGACGCAAGUCUGAUGGAGCAACGCCGCGUGAGUGAAGAAGGUUUUCGGAUCGUAAAGCUCUGUUGUUGGUGAAGAAGGAUAGAGGUAGUAACUGGCCUUUAUUUGACGGUAAUCAACCAGAAAGUCACGGCUAACUACGUGCCAGCAGCCGCGGUAAUACGUAGGUGGCAAGCGUUGUCCGGAUUUAUUGGGCGUAAAGCGAGCGCAGGCGGAAGAAUAAGUCUGAUGUGAAAGCCCUCGGCUUAACCGAGGAAUUGCAUCGGAAACUGUUUUUCUUGAGUGCAGAAGAGGAGAGUGGAACUCCAUGUGUAGCGGUGGAAUGCGUAGAUAUAUGGAAGAACACCAGUGGCGAAGGCGGCUCUCUGGUCUGCAACUGACGCUGAGGCUCGAAAGCAUGGGUAGCGAACAGGAUUAGAUACC